UUGAAUGAAACACUCUUGCUUGUAGGUGCACUCCCACUCAUAGACAGGGAGCUUAAGAUGUAUAUAAGCACUAGAAAAAAUCUUCUAACCUUGAGUUGGUCUGGUGAGUUACUCUGACCUUCUCCUUGUAACUGGUUGCAGAAAUAAACUCCCUUCUUUCCCAGUCUGCCUGCAUCUCAUUAUUGGAUCACCAGGACAAGCAGCCAGGCCUCAUUCUGUCCGGGAGCAAAUCUGGUAACUCUCCCAGGAGAGCUCAGCAGCCAGCGGCUCGCAAAGAGGUAGUCUUUGGGUGACCCCCAGCAGCUGCCUGGUAUGGUUUGUCCUGGGGACUCUCCUGAGGACCUUUCUGGCUGCAAAGACUGCCCGUCUCUCUAUUACUGGGAAAGAAUAGAGAUUGGGAGCAGUUGCACUCAAAAGCCCUGCAGCUAGCUGUCCCAAGUAAACAACGCUCUUGGAGUAAAUUGGAAACUCACACAGCAUGGAAACCACAACCUUCUGGACAGACUGAAAGGAUGAAUCAAACACGAAAACAGUGCCAAACUGUGCCAACUAAAAUGGAUUCAGGUACUCAGCAUUGUACUGCUUUGGCCUGGUGAUCAAGUGCUGCUGAAAGAAUAAAGAGAAAUGAGCCCAAGUCAGCAGCUACAGGAGAAAUAGAAAGGGCCCCAUGACAUGCUGCUGACUACCAAUUUGGCAAUGAAACUGGCUGGCAUCAAGCCAUGGAUCCACCACAUGCCCGUGAAGAAGUUCCUGCCGGAGGAAACAUUCAUGACACAGGACACCAAGGCUGCCAAAUGGGAGACAGAACCCCUUGAAGGCCUAGGAUUUCUGUUCAAAAGAUGAUAAAGUAUUGUUUUACAUUGUUACAUUGCUGCUUUACAUUGCUGCUGUUUUACAUUGUUAUUUCUGCGUACCUCUAACCUUUUCCUACAAUGGGCAAAGGUUAUGCAAAUAGCUUACAGCAAGACUCUUGCUGGGUCUGUGCUCUAUUACCCCUCUCUGGCACCAUGGGGCUGCCUUGGUGCAUCCCCCACAUACAAGGAAAAAUUAGGUUUAUAAUAUCUUGAUUUUGUAGAACACCUUCCUGGUGGCAGAAAAUUCUUCUUGUCCUAGCUGCCUUCCUGGGCAUGAGCAUAAUACUAUGUUGUGAACUAUAUUAUUGUUAUAUGCUGUUCCAAAACAUUCCUCAGGCUCACAAGAUCAUGUCUUAUCAGGCGCUGCCUUUGAGUCUCUAAAGCCAGAAACAUUACCAGCACCAGAUAGACAUCUUCCACUCUAGCACCCCUUGAUGACAACCCUCUUCAGCAGGAAGUAGAUGGAGGGAAUGCAUACCCACUUUCCCUUAGUCGGCUAUGUCAUAGUUUACACUUUUGCACUAGCCUUUUAACAAACCAGUACUUGAAAAAAUUAACUAACAUGCUAGAAAUCACGUACAAAUUGACAGUGGGGAUUGUGGCAGGCCAGGUUUCCAUUAGCAACCAGAACAGUCAGUUUUCACUAAUCCUUUACUAUAACUCUGAUGAAUAUAUAAGUUAAACAUUAAAGAACUGGAGAAACUGGUCACUAAGUACAAUGGCUGGAAUGCAAAAACAAACCCAUUAAGACCCCAGACCCUAAUGAUUAGAUACAGAUUGAAAGAAACACUCCUGCUUGUAGGUGCACUCCCACACAUAGGCAGAGAGCUUAAAAUGUGUAUAUGCACUAGAAAAAAUAUUGUAACUGCGUUGGUCUGAUGAGUUACUCUGACCUUCUCCUUGUAACUGGUUGCAAAAAUAAACUUUCUUUUUCCCCAGUCUGUCUGCAUCUCAUUAUUGGACUGCGAGAACAAGCCACCAGACCUCUUUCUGUCCGGGAAUACAGUGAACCCAAUAUAUCUGAGACAGACGGAGUCUCCCUCUGUUGCUGUGUCGCCCACGCUGGAGUGUAGUGGCACAACAUCUGCUCACUGCAACUUCUGACACUCAGGUUCAAGCUGUUCUCCUGCUCAGCCUUCCAAAUAGCUGGAACUACAGGCAUGUGCCACUACGCCUGUCUAAUUUUUUAUUUUUAGUAGAGAUGGGGUUUCACCAUGUUGGUCAGGCUGGUCUCAAACUCCUGACCUCGGGUGAUCCACCCUCUUCGGCCUCCCAACAAGCCAAAUUCUUGACUGAAAAUUUUAUCUAUUGUUAAUGGCACAAAUUAAUUACUAUAUAUUCCAUAAAGUCUUUCUUGACUCUCUCCACACUCCCUCCCUGGAGAGGUGAUUUCUCUUUACUCUUACCUUUUUAUCCUUGGUUAUUUUAUUAGCUCAUUUAUGAACUUGUUUAGAAACAGGUCCAUUCUUCUGAAUGUUAGCAGCCAUUUCUUAAUUUUUUCUCAUUUUUAUAUUCAACCAUGUUGAACAUGGUGAAAGAUCAAUAGAUAGCGAGGAAUAAAGGUUAAUACAAAUGAUAUUUCAUUCCAUGAUCUCGUUGGUUCAUUGAACCCAAUCACUCCUGUUAAUUAAAGCAAAGUUUCCUGGUGUUGCUAUAAUUUUUUAAAAUGUAAAAGUGCAAGAAAAAUUUUGGCGAAGAGAAAUUUGGUCAAGUAAUUUUCAAAAGAGAUAGGUAAGUUAGAUAAUAUUAAGCAUCACUGUAACUUUUCUAUUUUAUCAUCCAACAAAGCAUGAAGUGCUAUGUAAUAGGCAGUUUGAACCAUCUCCGAUAACAUACACCUGCACAAUAAGGCAAAACAGCAAAUACAUUGCCCAAGUAAAAAGAUUUGAAAAUGCAGUGUAAUCACAUAAAUGCUAAAUCAUUAGGCCCAAAACAUUCCCUGAAAUUUAUGUAGUAGAGAAAACGUAAGAGGCUCCCAUAACACUUUCUUCUCUAUGAAGCCUUUACCAAAUGAUGAGGACAAAAAAGAUAAUUACCUCCUAACCUAUUCUGAUUGAACAUGCAACUCUCUCCACUCGCCCCCCUCUUUUUCCUCAUCUGCACAUCAUAUAAAUGUAGUACUGUCUUUGGGUAGCUCCUUUACU
RNAcentral lists this long non-coding RNA (2998 nucleotides) under Homo sapiens (human). Its description in RNAcentral is "HSALNT0088663". Lineage: Eukaryota; Metazoa; Chordata; Mammalia; Primates; Hominidae. The record is from RNAcentral.